Salvia miltiorrhiza (redroot sage) is the source of this 1406-nucleotide long non-coding RNA. RefSeq lists it as uncharacterized. The transcript is spliced from 2 exons. Lineage: Eukaryota; Viridiplantae; Streptophyta; Magnoliopsida; Lamiales; Lamiaceae. The record is from RefSeq and is a predicted model, not a curated record.
UAUAGUGAAAAACCCCCAAAACCCCCGUGGACGUAGGUCUUCUCGACCGAACCACGUAAAUCCAGUGUCGUUUACUGCUUUUUAGUUUAGGUGUUGGUUUCUCGUUUCACCAACUGGCGCCGUCUGUGGGAAAGGAUCGGAGCUACGUCGUGAGUUCCGACGAGCUUACAAAAAAUUGGGGAAGUUACUGUUUAUCACGGAUUACUGUUCAUCAAAUUUUUUUGGGGAAAUUAGGAAUUUGGGGUUACUGCUCAUCAACAGGGAUGAUCGGUGGGUUCUUCCCCAAUAAAGGAAAAGUCACUGAAAAAUCUCAGAUUAUCCUCCGAUCUGAAUUCAUUUUUGGGAGAGAGGUUGUUCUUCCAAUUUCUAAUUUCCAGAUCGGGUUCUAGCUCUUUCUCUCUCCAAAAGGGUGGUUUUCUCUCCAUACUGUUCUCGCCAGAUCGAUGGGCAACACCCGUCACCGCUGCCUCGUCUGAGCUGAAAAGAUUAGGGAAAAUUCCGAUCCGAGUUCUCGAAAAAUAUCGCCCCAAAUCCACUAAACCCUUAGUCCUAUUCUCAAUUUCUGAUAUAUUUUAGGGAUCCUGAUUUUUUCUCUUUCGUUUGCUUACUGCGCUUACAAUCGCUGAUGAUUUUGUUUAAAUUCUUAUGCAAGGACAUGUAUGCACUCGCGGGAAUUAAGGAGCGAAGAAGGACAGGGUUUCACCGGUGGCGCAGCCAGCGCCGCCGCCUCUCGCCUCGUCGCUGCUCUGCUCGGCAGCGCAGCUAGCGCCGCCGCUUCUCACCUCGUCGUUGCUCUGCUCGGCAGCGCAGCUAGCGCCGCCGCCUCUCGCCUUGGUAUAUCAACACCAAGAUGUUGAGCAAAGUUUGGGUAAUGACGGCUCUAGGUGGGGUCUCUUGACACAAGGGGAGAUUUACACAACAUAUUCCUAUUUGCAGCUCUGUGUCGGAGAACUCAGCAACGGGGAUGGAGUGUAAAAACUAGCAGCUCUGCUCUCUGCAAAGGGGGAUGUGGCAGUUCUGGAUUUAUUCUAGUUGACAGGGGAGCAUUCGGCAGCCCUGCUCUUAGUUCAUGGGGUUCUCUCAGCGCAAACACGCUCCAGCCCCGUAAGCUACAAAGGCGGGAGGUAGGGGAAAGAUGUCAUCUAUCUACGAUGAGCAAUCACACAUAACAAUGGGCUAAGAAAUAGCCACGAUUCCUCUGCUAAGUUGCCACCUUCUGCCAUCAUACAUAAUUUUGAGUUGAGGGAUUGGGAGAAUCUGCUAAGACAAUUGCAUAUUUGACAAAACAAAAGAAAAAAAAAAGGGCAUUGGAUUUUGAAUCUAAUUUUUUGGGCACAGAACGUGAAAGGGGUAAUUGUAUUAUUAUGAAUAUUAAAUUUGGUCUUCAACUUGAUGACUUUGAGGUG